UUUUGGUGAGGUGCCUUCCGAGUUCCCUGGAACGGGACGCCAUAGAGGGUGAGAGCCCCGUCUGGUUGGACACCGAUCCUCUGUAAAGCUCCUUCGACGAGUCGAGUAGUUUGGGAAUGCUGCUCUAAAUGGGAGGUAUAUGUCUUCUAAAGCUAAAUACCGGCCAGAGACCGAUAGCGCACAAGUAGAGUGAUCGAAAGAUGAAAAGAACUUUGAAAAGAGAGUUAAAAAGUACGUGAAAUUGUUGAAAGGGAAGCGCUUGUGACCAGACUUGGGCUUGGUUGAUCAUCCGGGGUUCUCCCCGGUGCACUCUUCCGGCUCAGGCCAGCAUCAGUUCGCCCUGGGGGAUAAAGGCUUCGGGAAUGUGGCUCUCUCCGGGGAGUGUUAUAGCCCGCUGCGUAAUACCCUGUGGCGGA
This 416-nucleotide ribosomal RNA is filed under the name Fusarium falciforme. RNAcentral describes it as "partial large subunit ribosomal RNA". It matches the Rfam family "Eukaryotic large subunit ribosomal RNA", at positions 163 to 587 of the family's 3401-position model. Lineage: Eukaryota; Fungi; Ascomycota; Sordariomycetes; Hypocreales; Nectriaceae. The record is from RNAcentral.